Molecule: ribosomal RNA, 232 nt
Filed under: uncultured bacterium
Lineage: Bacteria
Description: partial 16S ribosomal RNA
Rfam family: Bacterial small subunit ribosomal RNA
Source: RNAcentral
CGGACGGGUGAGUAAUGUCUGGGAAACUGCCCGAUGGAGGGGGAUAACUACUGGAAACGGUAGCUAAUACCGCAUAACGUCGCAAGACCAAAGAGGGGGACCUUCGGGCCUCUUGCCAUCGGAUGUGCCCAGAUGGGAUUAGCUAGUAGGUGGGGUAACGGCUCACCUAGGCGACGAUCCCUAGCUGGUCUGAGAGGAUGAUCAGCCACGCUGGGACUGAGACACGGCCCAG